AUGAAUUGCAUUAGCUGGAACUGUCGAGGGCUUGGGAACCCUUAGACAGUUUGUGAGCUUCGCAAUAUUGUGAAGCAAGAAGGUCCCGCCCUUCUCUUUGUUAUGGAAAUGUAGAUUGAGGGUAAAUGUGUGGAGAACUUGAAAUCUGUCCUAGGGUUUCAAGGUUGUUUUGCGGUAGAUAGCACUAGUUUAAGUGGUUGCAUCGACUUGUUUUGGAUAGAUGAAGUGCAUGUUGAACUAAAAAACUAUAGCCGAGCGCACAUCGAUGUAAGAGUCAAGAGGAGAGAUGAUCAGAACUCUUGGCGUUUUACAGGUUUUUACGGAGAACCCCGGAUAGAGAACAGACACCACACUUGGGAGUUCUUGCGUACACUUCAUGGCAUUCAACACGAAGGAUGGAUUUGCAUGGGCGACUUUAAUGAAACUAUGUAUGUUGAUGAGCACUUCAGCGUGCAUGAUUGA
This 462-nucleotide ribosomal RNA is filed under the name Triticum aestivum (bread wheat). RNAcentral describes it as "partial small subunit ribosomal RNA". Lineage: Eukaryota; Viridiplantae; Streptophyta; Magnoliopsida; Poales; Poaceae. The record is from RNAcentral.